UGUAAUAAGUACAGCCACUGCCUACUGGGA
RNAcentral lists this non-coding RNA (30 nucleotides) under Homo sapiens (human). The record is from RNAcentral. Lineage: Eukaryota; Metazoa; Chordata; Mammalia; Primates; Hominidae.